This 202-nucleotide long non-coding RNA is filed under the name Phoenix dactylifera (date palm). Its description in RNAcentral is "long non-coding RNA (PDAC_LNC010686)". The record is from RNAcentral. Lineage: Eukaryota; Viridiplantae; Streptophyta; Magnoliopsida; Arecales; Arecaceae.
GUUUGAGCCACAUAAUUGUCCGGCCUCUAUAGGUAUCCACACGAGGAUCUAAUCAUCUGAGAUAGGGUCUUACCGGAGUGCUAGCUCCUUGCAAAGACCUCUCAUGACUAUCAUAUAGAUUAGAAGAUAAAAAUCUGCAACAUACCUCCUUAAAGAAGAACCCUUUCUUCUUCAACCUUGCACGCGAUGGAGGAAGAGGAAG